This is a long non-coding RNA of Lotus japonicus, 2744 nucleotides long. RefSeq lists it as uncharacterized. The transcript is spliced from 6 exons. The record is from RefSeq and is a predicted model, not a curated record. NCBI's taxonomy places the organism in Eukaryota, Viridiplantae, Streptophyta, Magnoliopsida, Fabales, Fabaceae.
UAAUUAAGCUAUUUACGCACGUGACUUAGAAUUGUGGAUGAGGGAGGAAGCUUGCAUAUUGCAAUUUAAUUAAUAUCAAUCAAUAUCAAUAUCAAUAUAUUCUGUCCUCGUAGUAUAGCUCAAGUGAUAGGAGCCGAGGGACAUAUGGGUUGAGUAUAGGAAGUCCAGAGAUCGAUUCCUAACCGGUGCAAUUUAUUUUUCUGAUGUACCAAAAAUAAAAUAUCAAUCAAUCAAUAUAUACUAGAAAAGAACAACUUCCAUUAGGCUGAUUUAGUGACGUGGCAGCACCAAAUUCAAUCUGCUCCCAGGUUAAUUCUCAUAAAAAAAUUUCAUGUGUCAUUUAAUUAAAUAACUUCUCUUCUGUUGGAUUUAUAAAAAAAUUUCAUGUGUCAUUCCAUUAGAUAGUUUUUUUUUUCAAUGUUGUGGUCUUUCUAGCCUCUUCCAUCUCGCUGUCAUCCUCCUCCCCAACAGUCGUAAUUGAACUCACCAAAGCAACAUUUUUUACCUCCCCAUAUUUAGCAACACUUUCCACCCCAUUCUGAACACCGCCAUUAAAUGAAUUAUGAUUUCUUCACACCUCAUUUUGAGGUGGAAGGAGGUGGAGGAGGAGAGAGAUAGGAAGAAAAUAAAAAGUAUGAGAGAGAAAAUAUGAGAUGUGAUAGAUGAUAGAAACAAAAAUAGGUGCAAAUGAAGUGUUUAAAAAAUGAGGUGUGUAUAUAUCAUUACUCGAAUUUUGUCAAGUUUCAUCCCAUCUUCAUCCUUCACCAACCCACAUGAAAACUCGCUAGACUUCCCAUCAACAACAACUCCCACUCUGGCAUCCACACCAUUGUUCCCUCUAUCACCCACAAAUGCAUUUUCUUUACCAAAACCCUCACCCCCACUUCCACCCAUCAUCACAUCACAUCCAACCUUCUGACCCAACAAACCAUUUCCCCCUCCACCAUCAACUCCAACCUUUUGAUCAUGGACCAGAACCUCACCACCACCACCAUCACCACCACUCAGUGACGGAUCCAGAAAUGUUUGGUUGUGGGGCAAUAUGUCCAAAAAAAAAAUCUUUGCAAAAGUUUUUAUAAGAAUCAUUUUAAUCAAAAAAACAAGUGAUAAAAAAUGACAAUAUGGUUUGUUGGUUUACUGCUAAAUGGAAGGCCAAUAAAAAAAUGAAAACCAAGUGAUGUAUAAUAGCUCUUACAUAAUGGGUAGCAGCAAAUUCUUUGAAAAAAAUAACGAUUAAUGUCUUCCACCAAAGAAAAGAUUUGGUGGGAUAUUGUGAGGAAAAUUUGGAAAGGAGGAAGUUGGGGUCGGUUCAUGUAAUUUUCCAACUCAUAUGAGAAAAGACACAAAUUGAACAAAAACAGAGAACACUACUACAGAAAUGACAUUUUGUCACGCCUCUAUUGUCACGGUUAUAGGCGGAACCGUGAUAAUAGAGCAAUUACCACGGUUAUAAAAGGAACCGUGGUAAUAGGUAACAAUAUUUUAUUAAUUUUUUUAUGGACCGUGACAAUAGAGAACUUUACUCUUCAAAUUUUUUCAGAAUUUUUCCUAAACCCUCUCUCCCACUCGAUCUCCCACUCUCCAUCGACCCGUUCCCUAUCUACCACCGCCGCUGCUCUCUUCUUCCUCCGAUCGUAACCCUUCAAAUCCCUAACCCUUUGGCUAGCUCUAUCUCUCCCUCGCCGGCGGCGACGUCCGCGUCCUCAUCAUCCCCUUCCCCGAUGAACAUGCCCCUGUCGUCGACGACGACCUGAAGCAUCCCCUGCAGCGGAGAUCCAGAACCCGCAGAGCGAGGAACUCGUCGUUGCUCCGCACUGCCGUCAGGUUCGCGAAAUCCGAGCACCACAAAGGUGAGGGGAACGACAUGGCGGCGGUGGCGGAGAAGGAGAAGAAGGAGUGGAGCGAAGAGGACGUUGAGGUUUGAAGAAGCAGAUGACGAAGCAUCUCGUGUGGAAACCUGGACAGUGGGAAGCGAUGCAGCCUUCAUUGUGCAACACAGGGUGGACAACAUGAUCUGGGAGAAGAGAAGCGACGAUUCUGAAAGGAAUUCUGGAAAUCCAAGGCUGCUUGUGUGAAAAGAGUUGCAGAAUUGAAGAAAGGGUUUCAUAAUGCAAAAGCUACUUCCUAAUGGGAAAAUCAGAGUUAGAGCUUGGAGCAGACAUUGAAAUAUUUACAGGUCAUAAAGAUUAGAGAAAUUGUUGGCUUGAAGUUAAAAAGGAGAAGAAAAAAACUAGAUUUUGUGGUUGAGCAGAGCUGCAUCAAUUGUGGUGUUUGCAUGGGCACGUAUUUCAGUGAAACAUGUAAACUCAAUGAUGAUGAUGUAAGUGAUUCAUCUUGGUCGAAUAGACAGGAAGAUUGAGUUUCCUCUCCCUGAUAUCAAGACAAGGAGACGCAUUUUCCAGAUACACACAUCAAGGAUGACAUUGGCUGAUGAUGUCAACUUAGAAGAUUUUGUUAUGACUAAAGAUGAGUUCUCUGGAGCUGAUAUAAAGGCAAUAUGUACUGAAGCUGGUUUACUUGCUUUACGAGAACGCCGAAUGAAGGUUAAGGUCUUUUGCUAGUGUAUUAGCAAUUAUUUAUACUUCAGUGAGACAUGUAAACUCAAUGAUGAUGAUGUAAGUGAUUCAUCUUGGAACAAAGGAAUUUUGUGUUUGUGUGUGUGUGAGAGUAUGUUCUCAAUAACAAUUAGUAUUGUUUUCUUAUUCAAGGUUGGAAUAUUUGAGUAAUUUGGCUAGAAUAUCUGA